Long non-coding RNA from Haliotis rufescens (red abalone), 617 nucleotides. RefSeq lists it as uncharacterized. The transcript is spliced from 2 exons. NCBI's taxonomy places the organism in Eukaryota, Metazoa, Mollusca, Gastropoda, Lepetellida, Haliotidae. The record is from RefSeq and is a predicted model, not a curated record.
AAAAUUGGUUUUAUAGUGCCAGCCCACUGAGACGCCAUAUCCUUGUUUUAUCCCCUUAAAGCUGAGCCCCAGGCAGAGUAACAAUAAGUACCUGUUUUAAUGACUUUUGGUAUGAAGUGACCGGGAAUUAAUCCAACGGCCUUCUGCUAUCUGGGCAGAUGCUCUAUCCAUUAGUGAGUCAGUUAGGUUUAACGCCGCUUUUAACAUUAUUCAGUUAUAUCAGUGGCAUGUCAGCUUAAUGUGGGAGGAAAGCCCGAAGUGAUGCAGGUUUUAGAUGUUUACCACUUCGGUGAAACCCAUGAGCAGGGGUAUGGUGCUGACAAACCUAGAAACAUAAUCGGGGCGAACCGGGAUUCGAACCCACAAUCACAGCCAUGAUAUGAAUAAAACUAAAUUCAACUAAAUGUAGUCAUCUUUCUCCAAGAAAAAUUACUAUUCAACAUUUUCAUCUCUUAAAGAAUAAAACAAUGUGACAUAUUGUUAAUAUCAGUAUGAAAAUUGGAGCACCUAAAUUUUCGUAUCACCCUAAAUGAUAUUACUCACCGGAUGUGCAUGACAAACUCUAGCUAUAUCUUCACAUGAUGCACCGUAUUCCAUUGCAAAUGCUGCCUCAUUAA